GACGAACGCUGGCGGCGUGCUUAACACAUGCAAGACGAACGGAAAGGCCCUUCGGGGUACUCGAGUGGCGAACGGGUGAGUAACACGUGGGUGAUCUGCCCUGCACUUUGGGAUAAGCCUGGGAAACUGGGUCUAAUACCGAAUAGGACCACGCGCUUCAUGGUGUGUGGUGGAAAGCUUUUGCGGUGUGGGAUGGGCCCGCGGCCUAUCAGCUUGUUGGUGGGGUAAUGGCCUACCAAGGCGACGACGGGUAGCCGGCCUGAGAGGGUGACCGGCCACACUGGGACUGAGAUACGGCCCAGACUCCUACGGGAGGCAGCAGUGGGGAAUAUUGCACAAUGGGCGCAAGCCUGAUGCAGCGACGCCGCGUGAGGGAUGACGGCCUUCGGGUUGUAAACCUCUUUCAAUAGGGACGAAGCGCAAGUGACGGUACCUAUAGAAGAAGCACCGGCCAACUACGUG
This 462-nucleotide ribosomal RNA is filed under the name uncultured bacterium. RNAcentral describes it as "partial 16S ribosomal RNA". It matches the Rfam family "Bacterial small subunit ribosomal RNA", at positions 28 to 507 of the family's 1533-position model. The record is from RNAcentral.